GCGGGAAGAGCUCAAAUUUAUAAUCUGGCACCUUCGGUGUCCGAGUUGUAAUCUCUAGAAAUGUUUUCCGCGUUGGACCGCACACAAGUCUGUUGGAAUACAGCGGCAUAGUGGUGAGACCCCCGUAUAUGGUGCGGACGCCCAGCGCUUUGUGAUACAUUUUCGAAGAGUCGAGUUGUUUGGGAAUGCAGCUCAAAUUGGGUGGUAAAUUCCAUCUAAAGCUAAAUAUUGGCGAGAGACCGAUAGCGAACAAGUACCGUGAGGGAAAGAUGAAAAGCACUUUGGAAAGAGAGUUAACAGUACGUGAAAUUGUUGGAAGGGAAACGCUUGAAGUCAGACUUGCUUGCUGAGCAAUCGGUUUGCAGGCCAGCAUCAGUUUUCCGGGAUGGAUAAUGGUAGAGAGAAGGUAGCAGUUUCGGCUGUGUUAUAGCUCUCUGCUGGAUACAUCUUGGGGGACUGAGGAACGCAGUGUGCCUUUGGCGGGGGUUUCGACCUCUUCACACUUAGGAUGCUGGUGGAAUGGCUUUAAACGACCCGUCUUGAA
RNAcentral lists this ribosomal RNA (544 nucleotides) under Rhodotorula mucilaginosa. Its description in RNAcentral is "LSU rRNA". It matches the Rfam family "Eukaryotic large subunit ribosomal RNA", at positions 98 to 658 of the family's 3401-position model. Lineage: Eukaryota; Fungi; Basidiomycota; Microbotryomycetes; Sporidiobolales; Sporidiobolaceae. The record is from RNAcentral.